GCUUACGGGCCACACCACCCUGAGCGCGCCCGAUCUCGUCUGAUCUCGGAAGCUAAGCAGGGUCGGGCCUGGUUAGUACUUGGAUGGGAGACCGCCUGGGAAUACCAGGUGCCGUAAGCU
RNAcentral lists this ribosomal RNA (120 nucleotides) under Lates calcarifer (barramundi perch). Lineage: Eukaryota; Metazoa; Chordata; Actinopteri; Centropomidae. The record is from RNAcentral.